CUGGGGUGUCCCAAGCUAUGGGUCUUUCUACCGUGUUAGGGCUGAGUGUCUGUUUGUGGCUUACCUGGGUCUCCCGUUCUGCUGGAGGAUCGUCCUCGAUACGGGUCUGUGAGCGGGUGGUCACGGGACAAGCAGCAGCAGUCGUGGGUAGAUAAGCUGAAGCCAGAGGGCCAAUGUCGUUGCCCAACACGACUUCAGCAGGUAAAUUGUCCAUG
This is a non-coding RNA of Pelobates cultripes (western spadefoot toad), 215 nucleotides long. The record is from the annotation of a GenBank genome assembly. NCBI's taxonomy places the organism in Eukaryota, Metazoa, Chordata, Amphibia, Anura, Pelobatidae.